Camelus dromedarius (Arabian camel) is the source of this 1008-nucleotide long non-coding RNA. RefSeq lists it as uncharacterized. NCBI's taxonomy places the organism in Eukaryota, Metazoa, Chordata, Mammalia, Artiodactyla, Camelidae. The transcript has 3 exons. The record is from RefSeq and is a predicted model, not a curated record.
AAGACUCAGUAAUAUUUCAUGUUACACACAUGACGCAUUUUCUUUAUUCAUUCACCCAUCGGAGGACAUCUAGGCUGCUUCCACUUCUUGGCUACUGUGAAUAGUCUACAAUGAACAUGGAUGUAAUGAAACCGAACAGGCAGCUUGAGAGCGGGAGGAAACCUGUUGUUGCCGUUGUACCCUAGCACCGCACACGGGCCAGAUGUACAGCCCAUAGGCUUGUCUCACUUCCCAGGCUGUGAGCCCUUCCAGGACGGGAAUGAUGUCACCUCCCUCUUUGGUUUAGUGGCCUCGCUAUGCAGUGGCUAUAACUCACACCCCAGUCUCCUGAAAUAAUAUAGCACUGAUCGUGCAGACAUUCGGUUUUCUACUCAAAGGUAUGUGUGAAUGUUCGCAGAUGAGGCAAAUGCCCUCUGAAAUAAAUGAGCACCCAGGUACCCCUCUUUUCCCCUUUCACCUCCAGGAGCAACUCCCUCUGUACACACACCUUACCUAGGGUAAAACCGUUCUAGUGAAGUGACUCAUUUGCGUUUUCUGUUCAAAUCCCAUGAAAGAAAAUACGACUUGCCAGAGUCACACUAAGAGGAAGGAAGGGCAUUUUAACCUCUGCUAAACUAACAAAUUUUUAGUCAGCAACCGGAAACAAUUGAGGUUUUUAUUUACAAUAUUGUACAUCUUAUGAGCCUAUCUAAUGACUCAUGAGGUGAUUCAUUCCCUCUCUCAUCCCUCUGCCCAGUUCCUAAGAUCUGCCCAUUCAUCUUAAGAUUUCCUGCUAAAGCCAUCCUUUGCUUUCCAUCUCUGUUCAGGCCCCUGCCUCCUCCUUCUCUCUGUGAAAUUGCCCCUCCAGUGGGUUCCCUGACGACAGUCAUGCCUUCUAGAAUCCAGACCCCACACUGGCACCAGACAGGUAGCUCCACAUCCCACGCCACCCACCACCCUUCAAUACCUUCCCUUGUCUCCACCACUCAGCUCUUGAGCUUGAACAGAAGUCUCAACAACCUGACGAGA